This 468-nucleotide ribosomal RNA is filed under the name uncultured bacterium. RNAcentral's name for it is "partial 16S ribosomal RNA". It matches the Rfam family "Bacterial small subunit ribosomal RNA", at positions 28 to 507 of the family's 1533-position model. The record is from RNAcentral.
GACGAACGCUGGCGGCGUGCUUAAUACAUGCAAGUCGAACGGAAAGGCCCUGCUUUUGCGGGUUGCUCGAGUGGCGAACGGGUGAGUAACACGUGAGUAACCUGCCCUUGACUGUGGGAUAACUUCAGGAAACUGGGGCUAAUAUCGGAUAGGAGCUCCUGCUGCAUGGUGGGGGUUGGUAAGUGUCGGCGGUUGGGGAUGGACUCGCAGCUUAUCAGCUUGUUGGGGAGGUAGUGGCUGACCAAGGUUUUGACGGGUAGCCGGCCUGAGAGGGUGAACGGCCACAUGGGGACUGAGAUACGGCCCAGUCUCCUACGGGACGCAACAGUGGGGAAUAUUGCACAAUGGGGGGGAGCCAGAUGCAGCAACGCCGCGUGCGGGAUGACGGGCUACGAGUUGUAAACCGCUUUCGCCUGUGACGAGGCGGGCGUGACGGUAAUGGGUAAAGAAGCACCGGCUAACUACGUG